AGUUUGCAAUAUUUGCAAAAGCAACGCAAGCAAAAGGACAAUUUAAUUCCUCGAUUGACUCGGAUUGAGCAACGCAAGCAAAUACACAAAUUAAUUCAAAAAUUGACUCCGAUUGUCAAUAACGAGUUUAAGGGGGAGGACUUGAGAAAUAGUAAAAAAGAAGGCAACUAUGCAUUUUCGAAGUUUACCGACAAGUUGAAGAUGGCUGAGGAACAAUUUAAAAAUUUUGAGACGAUGGAGGAAGAGAGAAUCAACCCACCCCAAGAUGCGGAUUAACAAAUUAACCACUGAUGCACAGAAGCCCAUCGCAAUUGAUGUCAUUAUCUAAAUCUGGAUUUCUUUUUAAUAUACUAUCUAAUUUAUGAGAGAAUGCUGGAAGCUUAAAAGAAAAAAAUUAUAUGUUUUCAUUAUUAUAUAUUUUAUACCAAGCAAUAUAUAUAUAUAUAUAUAUAUAUAUAUAUUAUAACUCCUUGGGAGUACUUCCGAACUCGGCAAUCUAUUAUUCAGUUAUCCAAUUGUAUUUCUAAUAUAAUGACCCUUAUGAGUACAUGCGCAUUUAGUGGCAUUUUUAUUCAU
Long non-coding RNA from Dioscorea cayenensis subsp. rotundata (Guinea yam), 576 nucleotides. RefSeq lists it as uncharacterized. The record is from RefSeq and is a predicted model, not a curated record. Lineage: Eukaryota; Viridiplantae; Streptophyta; Magnoliopsida; Dioscoreales; Dioscoreaceae. The transcript has 3 exons.